RNAcentral lists this unclassified non-coding RNA (246 nucleotides) under fungal sp. RNAcentral describes it as "partial internal transcribed spacer region". The stretch from base 1 to 46 matches the Rfam family "Eukaryotic small subunit ribosomal RNA", at positions 1786 to 1831 of the family's 1831-position model. Lineage: Eukaryota; Fungi. The record is from RNAcentral.
AAGUCGUAACAAGGUUUCCGUAGGUGAACCUGCGGAAGGAUCAUUAACAAACAGCGUGGGCAGCGGGGCGUGCGGGAAACCGCGCGCACUGCUCGCUCAUCAUCCACCUUUGUGAAUCGGGCGCGUCGUGCAAGCGGCGCGCUUAGUCGGGCGUCCCACAACAUAUCAUUUAUGUCUGAUCUUGUUGUCGAAAGACAGCGAAGCUAAACAUCAAUACAACUUUUAACAAUGGAUCUCUAGGCUCUU